GUAUUUUGAAUUAAGUAUUCAUAAUAGUUUUUCAGACAAAGAGUUGAGAUAUAGUUGAUGUUUGGGGCUGAUCCUCUCGAGAGAAAAUCAACCCUGACAUUGCACACAAGGUGGAUAUGGAUUUAAAAAAGUGCCAUAAAACACUUAUUAUGAAUGAUCCUUCCGCAGGUUCACCUACGGAAA
Molecule: unclassified non-coding RNA, 183 nt
Filed under: uncultured fungus
Lineage: Eukaryota; Fungi
Description: sequence contains ITS1, 5.8S rRNA gene
Source: RNAcentral